UAGGGAAUCUUCCGCAAUGGGCGAAAGCCUGACGGAGCAACGCCGCGUGAGUGAUGAAGGUCUUCGGAUCGUAAAACUCUGUUAUUAGGGAAGAACAAAUGUGUAAGUAACUAUGCACGUCUUGACGGUACCUAAUCAGAAAGCCACGGCAAACUACGUGCCAGCAGCCGCGGUAAUACGUAGGUGGCAAGCGUUAUCCGGAAUUAUUGGGCGUAAAGCGCGCGUAGGCGGUUUUUUAAGUCUGUUGUGAAAGCCCACGGCUCAACCGUGGAAGGUCAUUGGAAACUGUGAAACUUGAGUGCAGAAGAGGAAGGUGGAAUUCCAUGUGUAGCGGUGAAAUGCGCAGAGAUAUGGAGGAACACCAGUGGCGAAGGCGACUUUCUGGUCCGUUACUGACGCUGAUGUGCGAAAGCGUGGGGAUCAAACAGG
RNAcentral lists this ribosomal RNA (429 nucleotides) under Actinomycetes bacterium. RNAcentral describes it as "Actinobacteria bacterium partial 16S ribosomal RNA". It matches the Rfam family "Bacterial small subunit ribosomal RNA", at positions 355 to 776 of the family's 1533-position model. Lineage: Bacteria; Bacillati; Actinomycetota; Actinomycetes. The record is from RNAcentral.